RNAcentral lists this transfer RNA (72 nucleotides) under Pangasianodon gigas (Mekong giant catfish). Its description in RNAcentral is "tRNA-Glu". It matches the Rfam family "tRNA". From Rfam's summary of the family: Transfer RNA (tRNA) molecules are approximately 80 nucleotides in length. Their secondary structure includes four short double-helical elements and three loops (D, anti-codon, and T loops). Lineage: Eukaryota; Metazoa; Chordata; Actinopteri; Siluriformes; Pangasiidae. The record is from RNAcentral.
UCCCCGGAGGACUAGUGGUUAGGCCACAGCGCUCUCACCGCUGCAGCCCGGGUUCGAUUCCCGGCCAGGGAA